CACAGUGGUAAUUACACUAUAAACAGGGGAUAGGGGGAGAAUAAAGCAUGAAAGAGAACCCUGGGCUUGUUACCAGGCAACACAAAAUAUGCAACCUGAAACCAGGCAAGCAUGUAAAUUUCCUUACAAGCCUCCCAGAUGUCCUCACUUUAUGGCCAAUGCUCAGUUUCAGUUUCAAUUUGUUUAUUUGCCCUUCUUCAGUCACAAAUGUGGAGCUGAGAAUGCUGGAAGAGAGAAGAGAAAGCACGAAAUAAAAAGACAAGGAAGGACCCUGCUUUCUCCCCUGCGGGUCAAACAUGAUGCCAGUGUCAACUGAAGAAUGACAAGGUUCAUCUUAUGAAGAAGAGUUUUGUUUCUCAUAAAGGGCUGUAGCCUGCAGGGUAGCCCUUCUGGUAGGCUGGGAAGCAUAGCCUCUUGUCAGAAGCCAAGAACAGACACUUGGAGGAAACCACAUGCACAGAAGAGUUCUCUCUGCAUAAAGCCCCCUUGGGAAUUGGAGGACUUAUCAAUAUGACACACAAAGAGUGGAGGAUUCAGGAGUCCUUCUGGCACCACCUCUGGGAAAUACAGUCUUCUCAAGAUCUCAUCCUGGCAACAGUCACGGGAGACAGACUAUUCCAUUUAAUUUAUGAAGAAACCUGGGGCUCAAGAACACAAGUGACUUACCAGGAACCUAACAGCUAACAAGUGGAUUGAGCUCAAGAAACAUGGCUCCAAUUUCCACUAUCCCAUGACUCCUCCAAAGAAGACCAUGACUUUCUGAAAAAGGGCAAGGACUGAUGAAAUCAUCAGCUCAUCAUGAGAAUAAAAAGAAGGAAGGAAGCUUCGCUUCAUCUAAUUUCUAAGUUGGCAGAUGCAAAUAAUGAUGCCUACUUCAUAGCAGAGAUGGGAGAUAGCUGCUUGCAAAGUGCUUUCCUGGGUGUCUACUACCAGACUGUAAGCACAUUGAGAGUGGACCUGCAUUUAGAUUCCUGUACUCCAGCACCGACUAGAGUGCCUGCCAUGGAAGGGGCACUCACUGAGUGCUUAUAGAACAGAUACAUGAAAAGAACUAAAGGAAGUCAGGAAACACACUGGAUGAAUGACAACCACAUACCUGUGAGUCAACACGUAUUUACUGAGAUGAUGUGUCCAACCAAUGCUGGCCUCUGAAGCUCUGAGGCUGCAAAGAUGAAGAAGAAAUGGUCCCAACCCCAUCUGAACUCACAGAUGUCUGGGAGAGUUCAAUUCAAAAAGACAUCAACACAGAAUUAGCUCUAUUUUAUUAUACUGUAAUAAGUCAAGUGAGAGAAGGAGGCUGAGGGGACUGUCGUCCCACAGAGAAGGGGCCUAAAGUAUGUGAAAGGCUUUCUAAAGGGCAGGAGGUGAAAGGGGGUCCUCAAAAUAAUGGGAGGCAGAAUUUGGCAGCUGAAGAAGGCAAAGUAAGCAAGUCCAACACAGGAAAGAGCCACAAAGCCCCAAACAUGCCAUGCUGUCUGGGAACAAUUGGAAUGAGCUGGGGAUAUGAGAGUAAUUCGCUUAAGCUAGAGGCCAGAGUACGAAGGCAGUGAUGAAUUGGGGGCUUGGUAGGUAGAGGCCUAUUAGGGAGAACCCAUGAGCUAAAUGCAGAUUUCUCAACCUCGGCAUUAUUGACAUGCUGGACAGGGUGAUUGCUGUGAGAGGCUGUACCGUGCACUGUAGAAUGUUUACCCCAGGCCUCUAUUCACUGGAUGCCAGUAGCAAGUCCCUCUAACACACCCCUUUUGUGACACCCUAAAAUAUCUCCAGAUACUCUAAAAUGACCAGCAGAAGUGAGGGUAAAAUCACACCUUCCCCUCCCUCUGUUGAGACUCACUGGACUAAAUUAAGGACUUUCAGUUUUAGGCUGGUUUAGAGGCUCCUGAGGUAAAGUAGCAUGGUCAGAUACGCAGUUAAUUUGGAUUAUUUGGCAUUAGAAACAGAGCACAGAGACAGCCAAUCUGGUUCAGGAGCUACUGCAACAAUAUAGGAAAGAAAUUAUAAAUGACAAUGGAAAUAUUAACCAAGGGAUGUUCUCUCUCUCUCCAUCUAUGUAAUAUAAUGGAUAAUUAGUAUAUGUACAAAUAUAUAGUGUACAUAAUAUAUAUAGUAGCAUAUUAAU
Long non-coding RNA from Callithrix jacchus (white-tufted-ear marmoset), 2119 nucleotides. RefSeq lists it as uncharacterized. The record is from RefSeq and is a predicted model, not a curated record. NCBI's taxonomy places the organism in Eukaryota, Metazoa, Chordata, Mammalia, Primates, Cebidae.